This 1542-nucleotide ribosomal RNA is filed under the name Pseudomonas syringae pv. actinidiae. RNAcentral describes it as "partial 23S ribosomal RNA". It matches the Rfam family "Bacterial large subunit ribosomal RNA", at positions 1422 to 2925 of the family's 2925-position model. Lineage: Bacteria; Pseudomonadati; Pseudomonadota; Gammaproteobacteria; Pseudomonadales; Pseudomonadaceae. The record is from RNAcentral.
AAACAGGUUAAUAUUCCUGUACUUGGUGUUACUGCGAAGGGGGGACGGAGAAGGCUAUGUCAUCCGGGCGACGGUUGUCCCGGUUUAAGCGUGCAGGUGGGUGGACCAGGCAAAUCCGGUCUGCUGUAACACUGAGGCGUGAUGACGAGGCACUACGGUGCUGAAGUGACAGAUGCCCUGCUUCCAGGAAAAGCCUCUAAGCAUCAGGUAACAUUGAAUCGUACCCCAAACCGACACAGGUGGUCAGGUAGAGAAUACUCAGGCGCUUGAGAGAACUCGGGUGAAGGAACUAGGCAAAAUGGUGCCGUAACUUCGGGAGAAGGCACGCUGGGCAUGGUGAAGUCCCUUGCGGACGGAGCUGAGCCCAGUCGCAGAUACCAGCUGGCUGCAACUGUUUAAUAAAAACACAGCACUGUGCAAACACGAAAGUGGACGUAUACGGUGUGACGCCUGCCCGGUGCCGGAAGGUUAAUUGAUGGGGUUAUCCGCAAGGAGAAGCUCUUGAUCGAAGCCCCGGUAAACGGCGGCCGUAACUAUAACGGUCCUAAGGUAGCGAAAUUCCUUGUCGGGUAAGUUCCGACCUGCACGAAUGGCGUAAUGAUGGCCAGGCUGUCUCCACCCGAGACUCAGUGAAAUUGAACUCGCUGUGAAGAUGCAGUGUACCCGCGGCAAGACGGAAAGACCCCGUGAACCUUUACUAUAGCUUGACACUGAACCUUGAGCCUUGAUGUGUAGGAUAGGUGGGAGGCUUUGAAGUGUGGACGCCAGUCUGCAUGGAGCCAACCUUGAAAUACCACCCUUUAAUGUUUGAUGUUCUAACGUGGACCCGUAAUCCGGGUUGCGGACAGUGUCUGGUGGGUAGUUUGACUGGGGCGGUCUCCUCCCAAAGCGUAACGGAGGAGCACGAAGGUUAGCUAAUCCUGGUCGGACAUCAGGAGGUUAGUGCAAAGGCAUAAGCUAGCUUGACUGCGAGAGUGACGGCUCGAGCAGGUGCGAAAGCAGGUCUUAGUGAUCCGGUGGUUCUGAAUGGAAGGGCCAUCGCUCAACGGAUAAAAGGUACUCCGGGGAUAACAGGCUGAUACCGCCCAAGAGUUCAUAUCGACGGCGGUGUUUGGCACCUCGAUGUCGGCUCAUCACAUCCUGGGGCUGAAGUAGGUCCCAAGGGUAUGGCUGUUCGCCAUUUAAAGUGGUACGCGAGCUGGGUUUAGAACGUCGUGAGACAGUUCGGUCCCUAUCUGCCGUGGGCGUUGGAAGAUUGAGGGGGGUUGCUCCUAGUACGAGAGGACCGGAGUGAACGCACCGCUGGUGUUCGGGUUGUCAUGCCAAUGGCACUGCCCGGUAGCUACGUGCGGAAGAGAUAACCGCUGAAAGCAUCUAAGCGGGAAACUUGCCCCGAGAUGAGUCUUCCCUGGGCCCUUGAGGCCCCUGAAGGGACGUUUAAGACGAAGACGUUGAUAGGCUGGGUGUGUAAGCGUAGCGAUACGUUGAGCUAACCAGUACUAAUGACCCGAGAGGCUUAACCUUACAACACCGAAGGUGUUU